This 465-nucleotide ribosomal RNA is filed under the name uncultured bacterium. Its description in RNAcentral is "partial 16S ribosomal RNA". It matches the Rfam family "Bacterial small subunit ribosomal RNA", at positions 338 to 795 of the family's 1533-position model. The record is from RNAcentral.
CCUACGGGAGGCAGCAGUAGGGAAUCUUCGGCAAUGGACGAAAGUCUGACGGAGCAACGCCGCGUGAGUGAAGAAGGUUUUCGGAUCGUAAAACUCUGUUGGUAGAGAAGAACAAGGACGUUAGUAACUGACCGUCCCCUGACUGUAUCUAACCAGACAGCCACGGCUAACUACGUGCCAGCAGCCUCGUUAAUACGUAGGGGGCAAGCGUUGUCCGGAUUUAUUGGGCGUAAAGGUAGCGCAGGCGGUUUCUUAAGUCUGAUGUGAAAGCCACCGGCUCAACCGGGGAGGGGCAUAGGAAACUGGGGGACUUGAGUGCAGAAGAGGAGAGUGGAAUUCCAAGGGUAGCGGUGAAAUGCGUAGAUAUAUGGAGGAACACCAGUGGCGAAGGCGGCUCACUGGUCUGUAACUGACGCUGAGGCUUGAAAGCAUGGGGAGCAAACAGGAUUAGAUACCCCGGUAGUC